GACGAACGCUGGCGGCGUGCUUAACACAUGCAAGUCGAACGGAAAGGCCCUGCUUUUGUGGGGUGCUCGAGUGGCGAACGGGUGAGUAACACGUGAGUAACCUGCCCUUGACUUUGGGAUAACUUCAGGAAACUGGGGCUAAUACCGGAUAGGAGCUCCUGCUGCAUGGUGGGGGUUGGAAAGUUUCGGCGGUUGGGGAUGGACUCGCGGCUUAUCAGCUUGUUGGUGGGGUAGUGGCUUACCAAGGCUUUGACGGGUAGCCGGCCUGAGAGGGUGACCGGCCACAUUGGGCCUGAGAGACGGCGCAGACUCGUACGUGAGGCAGCAGUGGGGAAUAUUGCACAAUGGGCGGACGCCGGAGGCAGAAGCGCCGCGUGCGGGAUGACGGCCUUCGGGUUGUAAACCGCUGUAGCCUGUGACGAAGCGGGAGUGACGGUAAUGGGUAAAGAAGCACCGGCUAACUACGUG
Molecule: ribosomal RNA, 468 nt
Filed under: uncultured bacterium
Lineage: Bacteria
Description: partial 16S ribosomal RNA
Rfam family: Bacterial small subunit ribosomal RNA
Source: RNAcentral